CCUGCCUCUUAGCGGGGGAUAACUAUUGGAAACGAUAGCUAAUACCGCAUAAAAGUCGAUAUCGCAUGAUGUUGAUUUGAAAGGUGCAAUUGCAUCACUAAGAGAUGGACCUGCGUUGUAUUAGCUAGUUGGUGAGGUAACGGCUCACCAAGGCGACGAUACAUAGCCGACCUGAGAGGGUGAUCGGCCACACUGGGACUGAGACACGGCCCAG
Molecule: ribosomal RNA, 214 nt
Filed under: uncultured bacterium
Lineage: Bacteria
Description: partial 16S ribosomal RNA
Rfam family: Bacterial small subunit ribosomal RNA
Source: RNAcentral